AUUACCUUUCUUCUUCAGGCGGCAAAUUGAUAUGUUGAAUUUGACAAAGGUGACCGUAGUGAAUAAAAAGAUUUUUAAUGUAACAAUUGUUUUUUAUUUAUUAAUUUUUUUUUUAAAAUAUAAAGCACUUUUCUAGGUUCCCGUGCUUUUGUCAGAAUCUCUGCGUAGUCUUUUACACUCGCUUGUGAUCAUCUGUCCAAAAGCAACGGGAACAAUACAUACACUGAGGGUUUAUUGGAAGUGGCCGGCCUCCUUAUAACUGGAGAAAUAUGUGUGUGUGCGUGUGUAAAUGUGCUAUCUUAAUUUAGUUAAUACUAACAACUUAAUCUAAUAAUUAAUGACUACAAAUUAUUAUAAUUAUUUUACAAUAUUGAUUAUAUAAUUUAUUUUAAUUAUAUAUGAUAGCUUAAGUAUUAU
This is a non-coding RNA of Cinara cedri, 417 nucleotides long. The record is from the annotation of a GenBank genome assembly. NCBI's taxonomy places the organism in Eukaryota, Metazoa, Arthropoda, Insecta, Hemiptera, Aphididae.